GAUGAACGCUGGCGGCGUGCCUAAUACAUGCAAGUCGAGCGAACAGACGAGGAGCUUGCUCCUCUGACGUUAGCGGCGGACGGGUGAGUAACACGUGGAUAACCUACCUAUAAGACUGGGAUAACUUCGGGAAACCGGAGCUAAUACCGGAUAAUAUAUUGAACCGCAUGGUUCAAUAGUGAAAGACGGUUUUGCUGUCACUUAUAGAUGGAUCCGCGCCGCAUUAGCUAGUUGGUAAGGUAACGGCUUACCAAGGCGACGAUGCGUAGCCGACCUGAGAGGGUGAUCGGCCACACUGGAACUGAGACACGGUCCAGACUCCUACGGGAGGCAGCAGUAGGGAAUCUUCCGCAAUGGGCGAGAGCCUGACGGAGCAACGCCGCGUGAGUGAUGAAGGUCUUCGGAUCGUAAAACUCUGUUAUUAGGGAAGAACAAAUGUGUAAGUAACUAUGCACGUCUUGACGGUACCUAAACAGAAAGCCACGGCUAACUACGUG
RNAcentral lists this ribosomal RNA (497 nucleotides) under uncultured bacterium. Its description in RNAcentral is "partial 16S ribosomal RNA". It matches the Rfam family "Bacterial small subunit ribosomal RNA", at positions 28 to 507 of the family's 1533-position model. The record is from RNAcentral.